AGUGAACGCUGGCGGUAGGCCUAACACAUGCAAGUCGAACGGCAGCACAGUAAGAGCUUGCUCUUACGGGUGGCGAGUGGCGGACGGGUGAGGAAUACAUCGGAAUCUACUUUUUCGUGGGGGAUAACGUAGGGAAACUUACGCUAAUACCGCAUACGACCUACGGGUGAAAGCAGGGGAUCUUCGGACCUUGCGCGAUUGAAUGAGCCGAUGUCGGAUUAGCGAGUUGGCGGGGUAAAGGCCCACCAAGGCGACGAUCCGUAGCUGGUCUGAGAGGAUGAUCAGCCACCCUGGAACUGAGACACGGUCCAGACUCCUACGGGAGGCAGCAGUGGGGAAUAUUGGACAAUGGGCGCAAGCCUGAUCCAGCCAUACCGCGUGGGUGAAGAAGGCCUUCGGGUUGUAAAGCCCUUUUGUUGGGAAAGAAAAGCAGCAGGUUAAUACCCCGCUGUUCUGACGGUACCCAAAGAAUAAGCACCGGCUAACUUCGUG
Molecule: ribosomal RNA, 492 nt
Filed under: uncultured bacterium
Lineage: Bacteria
Description: partial 16S ribosomal RNA
Rfam family: Bacterial small subunit ribosomal RNA
Source: RNAcentral